ACCCGGGCUGAUAACUAGGCGGCGGUCUCAAUUUCUCCUCCACGACCUCUGCCCUUUAAGUGCUCGGAACAUUGAGAUAUUAGCGGCGAUCUUACACGUUUUCUGAUUCUACAUGACGUCUAAUGUUUAUAUUACCGCGACACUA
Molecule: small nucleolar RNA, 145 nt
Filed under: Dothideomycetidae sp. 11243
Lineage: Eukaryota; Fungi; Ascomycota; Dothideomycetes
Source: RNAcentral